GCCCGGGUGGCUCAGUCGGUUGAGCAGCCGACUUCAGCUCAGGUCAUGAUCGCACGGCUCGUGAGUUCGAGCCCCACGUCGGGCU
Molecule: non-coding RNA, 85 nt
Organism: Felis catus (domestic cat)
Lineage: Eukaryota; Metazoa; Chordata; Mammalia; Carnivora; Felidae
Source: Rfam